GGUUUUGUUCCUCCUGGGCAGAUGGCUCGGAUGCAUUCUUAUAUGCUACAUCCUCAUGGAUGUCGAUGCCGAUGCUUCUCUGGCUGCUACUGAGGAUGGCAGUGAUCCUUUCACCCACCUAAAAUCAAAGACGGGUUGUUCUUCCCAUCGCUUGUUUAUUUAUGCUAUGAAGUAAGCAGGUACAAUGAUCCUCUUUCGCUAAACAUGGGUGUCUGGAACUUAAGGAACAAUAGUGGUGGGAAAGCAGCUGGAGGAAACAAGAAAGCGCAGUAACUACUUUCCUAUGGUACUUGUUGCGUGCUUGUUGCUGAUUGCACACCCUAUGGUGCUUGAUGCCGAUUGCAAUGGCAACGCUUCAUCUCCGCAGGCGAUCCAAGCUGUGCUCGUCAUCUACACUAGUGUUAAAACUAUAUUCAGGCGUGACUAUAUGCAUGCCAUUUGUGUAAUAGAAUAUUUAUAGCAAAUAUCCACUAUAAUUUAUUCUUUCGUGUAGGCACAUGCCUUUUCUCUCUUUAACACAGUACAUUAGUUAAGAAUUUUCAA
Long non-coding RNA from Triticum aestivum (bread wheat), 543 nucleotides. RefSeq lists it as uncharacterized. The transcript is spliced from 3 exons. The record is from RefSeq and is a predicted model, not a curated record. Lineage: Eukaryota; Viridiplantae; Streptophyta; Magnoliopsida; Poales; Poaceae.